Molecule: long non-coding RNA, 763 nt
Filed under: Jatropha curcas
Lineage: Eukaryota; Viridiplantae; Streptophyta; Magnoliopsida; Malpighiales; Euphorbiaceae
Description: long non-coding RNA (JCUR_LNC000492)
Source: RNAcentral
AAUGUUGGGUUGAAAUUUCUGUUCAGUUUUUGAUUGAAUUGGCCAAUGGAGUCUUAAAAACUUUUCCUGAAGAAAAUGUAAGCUCAAAAGUUUGAUGAUUAAUACCCACGUUUACAAAUUUACUGCACUUGAUUAACCCAAUCUCACUUUUGCUAUGCAAACAUUUGUUUGCUCAAAUCUAAUUUGCAUGAAAACUGCAUAGAAGCUAUACUAUGGCAAGACAAAUGAGUUCAUGCCUUGUAAGUGCAAAGAACACAGAUGCACAACAAGAGAUUUGCUAAGAUGGAACUCCCAGGAAUUUUUGUGUGAAGGAAACUGUUGGGUUUAGCGAAUGUUUGAUUACAAUCAGAUGGUUGGAUUCAAGAAAACAAUUGAGGUAGUGCACUCAUCUUAUCACCACUAAGCUAACUGUUUUUUCUAGUAUGAUUUUGUGUUUGGUAGUUAGACCGAAUGAGGCAUAUUUAAAAUACAACUGCUCCACUAUAAAAGUACCUUAAACGAUGAAAGAAUAAUCUCUCUUAUCUCUGGUGUUUGACGCGUCUUUAUGUUUUUUUUUCCUUCUGCUGCCACAUUAUAUACAAAGCAAAGAUAACACACUUUUUUUAUUUUUUUAUUUUUUUAUUUUUAUUUCUUCUUUCAUGUCCUUCCUUCCGACCUUCUUUUUUAAUAGUUACUUAGUUAGCAUUGAACUUGAAUUUUUUUAACCCUUUCUUUUCUUUAGAUUUCUACAAGCGUGGAUUUGAAGAUUUGCAAAUAAGUUCAC